UACAGAGGUCUCAAGCGUUGUUCGGAUUCAUUGGGCGUAAAGGGUUCGUAGGCGGCGCGGUAAGUCGGGUGUGAAAUCUCGGAGCUUAACUUCGAAACUGCAUUCGAUACUGCCGUGCUUGAGGACUGGAGAGGAGACUGGAAUUUACGGUGUAGCGGUGAAAUGCGUAGAUAUCGUAAGGAAGACCAGUGGCGAAGGCGGGUCUCUGGACAGUUCCUGACGCUGAGGCACGAAGGCCAGGGGAGCAAACGGG
RNAcentral lists this ribosomal RNA (253 nucleotides) under uncultured bacterium. RNAcentral's name for it is "partial 16S ribosomal RNA". It matches the Rfam family "Bacterial small subunit ribosomal RNA", at positions 524 to 776 of the family's 1533-position model. The record is from RNAcentral.